GAAGAAGAAGGAAGCAUGUCUAAAAAGGGAGGAGCUGCGCUUCAAAAGGAUGUUCCUUGGAGGGUCUUUUCCUCCAAACCCCUUCCUAAAAUUCACCACUCUCCUGUUCUCCGUGUCUCUCAAACCCCUUUCUCCACUUACGCCCUCUCCAUCAUGAAGCACCUCGACCCAAUAGGAACUGGUUUGGCAACCGAAGCCAUGGUGGAAGCCGCUGGUCCUGAUUGCAUUGUCCCUGGCCAGAUUACUCCCGUUCGA
RNAcentral lists this unclassified non-coding RNA (255 nucleotides) under Hevea brasiliensis (rubber tree). The record is from RNAcentral. Lineage: Eukaryota; Viridiplantae; Streptophyta; Magnoliopsida; Malpighiales; Euphorbiaceae.